AGCUCCAAUAGCGUAUAUUAAAGUUGUUGCAGUUAAAAAGCUCGUAGUUGGAUUUCGGGGCGGCCUGUCUGGUCCGUCGCGAGACGAGUACUGGUCAGCCGCCCUUCCUCUCGAAAGCCCCGACUGCUCUUAACUGCAGUGGUCGGGUAGUUCGGGACGUUUACUUUGAAAAAAUUAGAGUGUUCAAGGCAGGCUCUGGCCUGAAUACAUUAGCAUGGAAUAAUGGAAGAGGACCUCGGUCCUAUUUUGUUGGUUUCUGGGGCCGAAGUAAUGAUUAAGAGGGACAGUUGGGGGCAUUCGUAUUUAAUUGUCAGAGGUGAAAUUCUCGGAUUUAUGAAAGACGAACAACUGCGAAAGCAUUUGCCAAGGAUGUUUUCA
This 378-nucleotide ribosomal RNA is filed under the name marine Metazoa environmental sample. RNAcentral describes it as "SSU rRNA". It matches the Rfam family "Eukaryotic small subunit ribosomal RNA", at positions 587 to 972 of the family's 1831-position model. The record is from RNAcentral. Lineage: Eukaryota; Metazoa.